UCCCUGGAGGACUAGUGGUUAGGCCCCAGCGUGCUCACCACUGUGGCCUGGGUUCAAUUCCCGGCCAUGGAA
RNAcentral lists this transfer RNA (72 nucleotides) under Pangasianodon gigas (Mekong giant catfish). RNAcentral's name for it is "tRNA-Glu". The record is from RNAcentral. Lineage: Eukaryota; Metazoa; Chordata; Actinopteri; Siluriformes; Pangasiidae.